This 424-nucleotide ribosomal RNA is filed under the name uncultured prokaryote. RNAcentral's name for it is "bacterial SSU rRNA". It matches the Rfam family "Bacterial small subunit ribosomal RNA", at positions 355 to 796 of the family's 1533-position model. The record is from RNAcentral.
UCGGGAAUAUUGGACAAUGGGCGCAAGCCUGAUCCAGCCAUGCCGCGUGAGUGAUGAAGGCCCUAGGGUUGUAAAGCUCUUUCACCGGUGAAGAUAAUGACGGUAACCGGAGAAGAAGCCCCGGCUAACUUCGUGCCAGCAGCCGCGGUAAUACGAAGGGGGCUAGCGUUGUUCGGAAUCACUGGGCGUAAAGCGCACGUAGGCGGAUUGGUCAGUCAGGGGUGAAAGCCCGGAGCUCAACUCCGGAACUGCCUUUGAUACUGCCUGUCUAGAGUCCGGGAGAGGUGAGUGGAAUUCCGAGUGUAGAGGUGAAAUUCGUAGAUAUUCGGAAGAACACCAGUGGCGAAGGCGGCUCACUGGCCCGGUACUGACGCUGAGGUGCGAAAGCGUGGGGAGCAAACAGGAUUAGAUACCCCCGUAGUCC